RNAcentral lists this ribosomal RNA (501 nucleotides) under uncultured bacterium. RNAcentral's name for it is "partial 16S ribosomal RNA". It matches the Rfam family "Bacterial small subunit ribosomal RNA", at positions 30 to 523 of the family's 1533-position model. The record is from RNAcentral.
AUUGAACGCUGGCGGCAUGCCUUACACAUGCAAGUCGAACGGCAGCACGGGUGCUUGCACCUGGUGGCGAGUGGCGAACGGGUGAGUAAUACAUCGGAACGUACCUUAUCGUGGGGGAUAACGCAGCGAAAGCUGUGCUAAUACCGCAUACGCCCUGAGGGGGAAAGCGGGGGAUCGCAAGACCUCGCGCGAUUAGAGCGGCCGAUGCCUGAUUAGCUUGUUGGUGGGGUAAAAGCCCACCAAGGCGACGAUCAGUAGCUGGUCUGAGAGGACGAUCAGGCACACUGGGACUGAGACACGGCCCAGACUCCUACGGGAGGCAGCAGUGGGGAAUUUUGGACAAUGGGGGCAAUCCUGAUCCAGCAAUGCCGCGUGAGUGAAGAAGGCCUUCGGGUUGUAAAGCUCUUUUGUCAGGGAAGAAACACCGGCUCUAACACAGUCUGGGAAUGACGGUACCUGAAGAAUAAGCACCGGCUAACUACGUGCCAGCCGCCGCCGUAA